Sapajus apella (tufted capuchin) is the source of this 209-nucleotide long non-coding RNA. RefSeq lists it as uncharacterized. The record is from RefSeq and is a predicted model, not a curated record. The transcript is spliced from 3 exons. Lineage: Eukaryota; Metazoa; Chordata; Mammalia; Primates; Cebidae.
AAGUAAAGGAGUGGGAAAAGGCAUUUUGCGCAAAUGGACACCAAAAGCAAGCAGGGGUAACAAUUCUUAUAUCAGACAAAACAAACAUUAAAGCAACAGCAGUUAAAAGAGACAAAGAGGAACAUUAUAUAAUGGUAAAAGCUUUGUCCCAUAGGAAAAUACCACAAUCCUAAACAUAUAUGCACCUAACACUGGAGUUCCCAAAUUUA